GACGAACGCUGGCGGCGUGCUUAACACAUGCAAGUCGAACGGAAAGGCCCUGCUUUUGUGGGGUGCUCGAGUGGCGAACGGGUGAGUAACACGUGAGUAACCUGCCCUUGACUUUGGGAUAACUUCAGGAAACUGGGGCUAAUACCGGAUAGGAGCUCCUGCUGCAUGGUGGGGGUUGGAAAGAUUCGGCGGUUGGGGAUGGACUCGCGGCUUAUCAGCUUGUUGGUGGGGUAGUGGCUUACCAAGGCUUUGACGGGUAGCCGGCCUGAGAGGGUGACCGGGCACAUUGGGACUGAGAUACGGCCCAGACUCCUACGGGAGGCAGCAGUGGGGAAUAUUGCACAAUGGGCGGAAGCCUGAUGCAGCAACGCCGCGUGCGGGAUGACGGCCUUCGGGUUGUAAACCGCUUUCGCCUGUGACGAAGCGUGAGUGACGGUAAUGGGUAAAGAAGCACCGGCUAACUACGUG
RNAcentral lists this ribosomal RNA (468 nucleotides) under uncultured bacterium. RNAcentral's name for it is "partial 16S ribosomal RNA". It matches the Rfam family "Bacterial small subunit ribosomal RNA", at positions 28 to 507 of the family's 1533-position model. The record is from RNAcentral.